ACCUGGGUGGCUCAGUUGGUUAAGCAUCUGACUUUGGCUCAGGUCAUUAUCUCACAGUUCGUGGGUUUGAGUCCCACGUCAGAUU
This 85-nucleotide transfer RNA is filed under the name Felis catus (domestic cat). It matches the Rfam family "tRNA". Rfam says of the family: Transfer RNA (tRNA) molecules are approximately 80 nucleotides in length. Their secondary structure includes four short double-helical elements and three loops (D, anti-codon, and T loops). The record is from Rfam by way of RNAcentral. Lineage: Eukaryota; Metazoa; Chordata; Mammalia; Carnivora; Felidae.